UAGGGAAUCUCCCACAAUGGACGCAAGUCUGAUGGAGCAACGCCGCGUGAGUGAAGAAGGUUUUCGGACCGUAAAGCUCUGUUGUUGGUGAAGAAGGAUAGAGGUAGUAACUGGCCUUUAUUUGACGGUAAUCAACCAGAAAGUCACGGCUAACUACGUGCCAGCAGCCGCGGUAAUACGUAGGUGGCAAGCGUUGUCCGGAUUUAUUGGGCGUAAAGCGAGCGCAGGCGGAAGAAUAAGUCUGAUGUGAAAGCCCUCGGCUUAACCGAGGAAUUGCAUCGGAAACUGUUUUCUUGAGUGCAGAAGAGGAGAGUAGAACUCCAUGUGUAGCGGUGGAAUGCGUAGAUAUAUGGAAGAAUACCAGUGGCGAAGGCGGCUCUCUGGUCUGCAACUGACGCUGAGGCUCGAAAGCAUGGGUAGCGAACAGGAUUAGAUACCCUGGUAGUCCAUGCCGUAAACGAUGAGUGCUAAGUGUUGGGAGGCUUCCGCCUCUCAGUGCUGCAGCUAACGCAUUAAGCACUCCGCCUGGGGGAGUACGACCGCAAGGUUGAAAC
Molecule: ribosomal RNA, 554 nt
Filed under: uncultured bacterium
Lineage: Bacteria
Description: partial 16S ribosomal RNA
Rfam family: Bacterial small subunit ribosomal RNA
Source: RNAcentral